GAUGAACGCUAGCGGCAGGCUUAAUACAUGCAAGUCGAGGGGCAGCAGGACUGUAGCAAUACAGUUGCUGGCGACCGGCAAACGGGUGCGGAACACGUACGCAACCUACCCAAAACUGGGGGAUAGCCCGGGGAAACCCGGAUUAAUACCUCGUAACCUUUUUAAGUGGCAUCACUUGAUAAGUAUAGCUCCGGCGGUUUUGGAUGGGCGUGCGCCUGAUUAGUUAGUUGGUGCGGGUAACGGCCCACCAAGCCUGCGAUCAGUAACUGGUGUGAGAGCACGACCAGUCACACGGGCACUGAGACACGGGCCCGACUCCUACGGGAGGCAGCAGUAAGGAAUAUUGGUCAAUGGACGCAAGUCUGAACCAGCCAUGCCGCGUGAAGGAUGAAGGUCCUCUGGAUUGUAAACUUCUUUUAUGGGGGACGAAACCCGGAUAUUCUUAUCCGAUUGACGGUACCUCAGGAAUAAGCACCGGCUAGCUCCGUG
RNAcentral lists this ribosomal RNA (489 nucleotides) under uncultured bacterium. RNAcentral describes it as "partial 16S ribosomal RNA". It matches the Rfam family "Bacterial small subunit ribosomal RNA", at positions 28 to 507 of the family's 1533-position model. The record is from RNAcentral.